UAGCCCACAUUUUAGUUGACGAACAACUUCAGAAUGGUCAUUUAGAGCCUAAGAUCAGCCCUUGGAACACACCCAUCUUGGUAAUUAGGAACAAGUCUGGUAAUUGGAGAUUAUUACAAGACCUACGGUCUAUUAAUUGUGUUAUAGAGCCCAUUGGAACAUUAUAAUCUGGGCUUCCUCCUCCUACAGCUAUUCUUUAGAUUAUUAUUUGAUAAUAAUAGAUCUGAAAGAUUGCUUUUUCUGUAUACCUUUGCACCCAGAUGACUGUAAAGAGUUUGCCUUUAG
This 285-nucleotide small RNA is filed under the name Marmota monax (woodchuck). Lineage: Eukaryota; Metazoa; Chordata; Mammalia; Rodentia; Sciuridae. The record is from RNAcentral.